UACAGAGGGUGCAAGCGUUAAUCGGAAUCACUGGGCGUAAAGGGUGCGUAGGUGGCUGAAUAAGUUUCAUGUGAAAUCCCUGGGCUUAACCUGGGAACUGCAUGGGAUACUGUUGAGCUAGAGUAGAGUAGAGGUGAGUGGAAUUUCCGGUGUAGCGGUGAAAUGCGUAGAGAUCGGAAGGAACACCAGUGGCGAAGGCGGCUCACUGGACUCAUACUGACACUGAGGCACGAAAGCGUGGGGAGCAAAC
Molecule: ribosomal RNA, 250 nt
Filed under: uncultured bacterium
Lineage: Bacteria
Description: partial 16S ribosomal RNA
Rfam family: Bacterial small subunit ribosomal RNA
Source: RNAcentral